AAACUGCGAAUGGCUCAUUAAAUCAGUUAUCGUUUAUUUGAUAGUACCUACCAACUACUUGGAUAACCGUGGUAAUUCUAGAGCUAAUACAUGCUAAAAACCCCGACUUCGGGAGGGGUGUAUUUAUUAGAUAAAAAACCAAUGCCCCUCGGGGCUUCUUGGUGAUUCAUGAUAACUUAACGGAUCGCAUGGCCUUGCGCCGGCGACGGUUCAUUCAAAUUUCUGCCCUAUCAACUUUCGAUGGUAAGGUAUUGGCUUACCAUGGUUUCAACGGGUAACGGGGAAUUAGGGUUCGAUUCCGGAGAGGGAGCCUGAGAAACGGCUACCACAUCCAAGGAAGGCAGCAGGCGCGCAAAUUACCCAAUCCCGACACGGGGAGGUAGUGACAAUAAAUACUGAUACAGGGCUCUUUUGGGUCUUGUAAUCGGAAUGAGUACAAUUUAAACCCCUUAACGAGGAACAAUUGGAGGGCAAGUCUGGUGCCAGCAGCCGCGGUAAUUCCAGCUCCAAUAGCGUAUAUUAAAGUUGUUGCAGUUAAAAAGCUCGUAGUUGAACCUUGGGCCUGGCUGGCCGGUCCGCCUCACCGCGUGUACUGGUCCGGCCGGGCCUUUCCUUCUGGAGAGCCGCAUGCCCUUCACUGGGUGUGUCGGGGAACCAGGACUUUUACUUUGAAAAAAUUAGAGUGUUCAAAGCAGGCCUUUGCUCGAAUACGUUAGCAUGGAAUAAUAGAAUAGGACGUGCGGUCCUAUUUUGUUGGUUUCUAGGACCGCCGUAAUGAUUAAUAGGGAUAGUCGGGGGCAUCAGUAUUCAAUUGUCAGAGGUGAAAUUCUUGGAUUUAUUGAAGACUAACUACUGCGAAAGCAUUUGCCAAGGAUGUUUUCAUUAAUCAGUGAACGAAAGUUAGGGGAUCGAAGACGAUCAGAUACCGUCGUAGUCUUAACCGUAAACUAUGCCGACUAGGGAUCGGGCGAUGUUUCUAUCUUGACUCGCUCGGCACCUUACGAGAAAUCA
Molecule: ribosomal RNA, 1011 nt
Filed under: Tetraploa oryzae
Lineage: Eukaryota; Fungi; Ascomycota; Dothideomycetes; Pleosporales; Tetraplosphaeriaceae
Description: SSU rRNA
Rfam family: Eukaryotic small subunit ribosomal RNA
Source: RNAcentral